AUGUAUUUCUUGAACAUUUUUAUGAUCCUUUCAUUUGAAGUUGAUUUGGGCAUCUUGGCAAAAAGAAAAGUGUUUGGGGCUGUUUGGUUCCCAGCCACAGUUUGCCAAGCCAAAAUUUGGCAGCCACAGUUUAGUUGGCAUGUGUUUGGUUUUUGCCACACUUUGGCUUGCCAUACUUUAUUGCCCAUAUGGCCCAUUUGUCAUAGAGACAAUUUUUUUGCCAACUUUUGCCAAAGUUUGGCGUCCAAUUUCACAGCCACACUUGUGUGGCUUGCCAUACUUGUGUGGCUAGCCACACUUUGGCUUGGCCACACUAGUAUCCAACCAAACAGACCCAAAUUAUUUCUUCAAAUACAUGAGUUUGCCAGAAUUAUGUUACCAAUAAUCAGGAGUUCAUUUUGGUAA
RNAcentral lists this ribosomal RNA (405 nucleotides) under Triticum aestivum (bread wheat). RNAcentral describes it as "partial small subunit ribosomal RNA". The record is from RNAcentral. Lineage: Eukaryota; Viridiplantae; Streptophyta; Magnoliopsida; Poales; Poaceae.